CCUACGGGAGGCAGCAGUAGGGAAUCUUCCACAAUGGGCGAAAGCCUGAUGGAGCAACGCCGCGUGGGUGAAGAAGGUCUUCGGAUCGUAAAACCCUGUUGUUAGAGAAGAAAGUGCGUGAGAGUAACUGUUCACGUUUCGACGGUAUCUAACCAGAAAGCCACGGCUAACUACGUGCCCGCAGCCGCGGUAAUACGUAGGUGGCAAGCGUUAUCCGGCUUUAUUGGGCGUAAAGGGAACGCAGGCGGUCUGUUAAGUCUGAUGUGAAAGCCUUCGGCUUAACCGGAGUAGUGCAUUGGAAACUGGGAGACUUGAGUGCAGAAGAGGAGAGUGGAACUCCAGGUGUAGCGGUGAAAUGCGUAGAGAUAUGGAAGAACACCAGUGGCGAAAGCGGCUCUCUGGUCUGUAACUGACGCUGAGGUUCGAAAGCGUGGGUAGCAAACAGGAUUAGAUACCCUAGUAGUC
RNAcentral lists this ribosomal RNA (465 nucleotides) under uncultured bacterium. RNAcentral's name for it is "partial 16S ribosomal RNA". It matches the Rfam family "Bacterial small subunit ribosomal RNA", at positions 338 to 795 of the family's 1533-position model. The record is from RNAcentral.